AAUGAACGCUGGCGGCAUGGAUAAGGCAUGCAAGUCGAACGAGAUCUAUCUUCGGAUAGUGAGAGUGGCGAAAGGGUGAGUAACACGUGAGAAAUCUACCCCUGAUUUUGGGAUAGCCCAUAGAAAUGUGGAUUAAUACCGAAUGAUCUUCAACAUCGCAUGGUGUUGGAUGUAAAGUUUUUUCGAUCAGGGAUGAUCUCGCGCUCCAUCAGCUUGUUGGUAAGGUAACGGCUUACCAAGGCUACGACGGAUAGGUGGUCUGAGAGGACGAUCACCCACACUGGGACUGAGACACUGCCCAG
Molecule: ribosomal RNA, 302 nt
Filed under: uncultured bacterium
Lineage: Bacteria
Description: bacterial SSU rRNA
Rfam family: Bacterial small subunit ribosomal RNA
Source: RNAcentral